RNAcentral lists this microRNA (21 nucleotides) under Chlamydomonas reinhardtii. Its description in RNAcentral is "cre-miR915". Its record names the gene cre-miR915. The record is from miRBase by way of RNAcentral. Lineage: Eukaryota; Viridiplantae; Chlorophyta; Chlorophyceae; Chlamydomonadales; Chlamydomonadaceae.
UGGCAAUAAGGCAAUCGUUGC